Molecule: ribosomal RNA, 495 nt
Filed under: Streptococcus sp. 'ARUP UnID 628'
Lineage: Bacteria; Bacillati; Bacillota; Bacilli; Lactobacillales; Streptococcaceae
Description: bacterial SSU rRNA
Rfam family: Bacterial small subunit ribosomal RNA
Source: RNAcentral
GGAUGAACGCUGGCGGCGUGCCUAAUACAUGCAAGUAGAACGCUGAAGCUUGGUGCUUGCACCGAGCGGAUGAGUUGCGAACGGGUGAGUAACGCGUAGGUAACCUGCCUGGUAGCGGGGGAUAACUAUUGGAAACGAUAGCUAAUACCGCAUAACAGUAGAUAUUGCAUGAURUCURCUUGAAAGGKGCAAUUGCWYCACUACCAGAUGGACCUGCGUUGUAUUAGCUAGUUGGUGAGGUAACGGCUCACCAAGGCGACGAUACAUAGCCGACCUGAGAGGGUGAUCGGCCACACUGGGACUGAGACACGGCCCAGACUCCUACGGGAGGCAGCAGUAGGGAAUCUUCGGCAAUGGACGGAAGUCUGACCGAGCAACGCCGCGUGAGUGAAGAAGGUUUUCGGAUCGUAAAGCUCUGUUGUAAGAGAAGAACGAGUGUGAGAGUGGAAARUUCACACUGUGACGGUAUCUUACCAGAAAGGGACGGCUAACUAC